RNAcentral lists this ribosomal RNA (407 nucleotides) under uncultured bacterium. RNAcentral's name for it is "partial 16S ribosomal RNA". It matches the Rfam family "Bacterial small subunit ribosomal RNA", at positions 30 to 526 of the family's 1533-position model. The record is from RNAcentral.
AUUGAACGAUAGAGGGAUGCCUUACACAUGCAAGUCGAACGGAGUGGCGAACGGGUGAGUAAUGUAUCGGAACGUGCCCAGUAGCGGGGGAUAACUACGCGAAAGCGUAGCUAAUACCGCAUACUAUUGGAGCGGCCGAUAUCGGAUUAGCAAGUUGGUGGGGUAAAGGCUCACCAAGGCGACGAUCCUUAGCUGGUUUGAGAGGACGACCAGCCACACUGGGAAUGAGAAACGGCCCAGACGCCUACGGGAGGCAGCAGUGGGGAAUUUUGGACAAUGGUGUAAACCCUUAUCCAGCCAUACCGCGUUUGCGAUGAAGGCCUUCGGGUUGUAAAGCACUUUUGGCAGGAAAGCGGUACCUGCAGAAUAAGCACCUGCUAACUACGUGCCAGCAGCCGCUGUAAUUC